Molecule: RNA transcript, 853 nt
Organism: Nycticebus coucang (slow loris)
Lineage: Eukaryota; Metazoa; Chordata; Mammalia; Primates; Lorisidae
Gene name: ADP-ribosylation factor-like protein 1
Exons: 1
Source: RefSeq, a predicted model, not a curated record
AUGGGUGGCUUUUUUUCAAGUAUUUUUUCCCAGUUUGGAACUCGGGAAAUGAGGAUUUUAAUUUUGGGAUUGGAUGGAGCAGGAAAAACCACAAUUUUGUACAGAUUAUAGGUUAGAGAAGUCGUUACUACUAUUCCUACCAUUAGAUUUAAUGUAGAAAUGGUGACAUACAAAAAUCUUAAAUUCCAAGUAUGGGACUUAGGAGGACAGACAAGUAUCAGGCCAUACUGGAGAUGUUAUUAUUCAAAUACAGAUACAGUUAUUUAUGUAGUUGACAGUCGUGACCGAGACCGAAUUGGCAUUUCCAAAUCAGUGUCUGUUGCCAUGUUGGAGGAAGAAGACCUGAGAAAAACCAUUUUAGUGGUAUUUGCAAAUCAGCAGGAUGUGCAGCAGGCCCUGACUCCCUCAGAGAUGGCAAAUUCCCUUGGGUUACCUGCUUUGAAGGACCGAAAACGGCAGGUCUUCAAAACAUCAGCAACCAAAGGGACUGGCCUUGAUGAGGCGAUGAAAUGCUUGGUUGAAACAUUAAAAAACAGACAGUAACUCAGUCCCUUCAGCUCCUCUGAAAUAAGGGCACAUCACCUACUGCUUUGGAAACAGUCAAGUGUUCUUUACACUACUAAAUGGUAAAAUUAUAAGAUCGUUGGCAUCUACUGAACUGACUGCCACUGUGGCUGUGUUUGUCAUCAAUAUGAAAAAUACGUAUUUGGUUGGAGGGAUAACUCAAUUAAAUCACCUAAACGUGUUGUGUAACGUAAAAUACUCCUUCCUUGCUUUCUUGUGUUAAGGUAUAUAUUCUAUUUGUAUGGAAUUCUUAUUCAAAUAUAGUCCUAUUAAAGAAUGUACUCUUGUU